GAAGCCGGAAGGAACGAUCAGAAGGAGCUCAUGACUCUCGCAAUGAGCCAAGAGCCGGGAAGCCUGACGACCGAGAGCGAACGAGCCAAAGAGAUACUCUGCUCCAUGCUCCUGGGAAACAAGUCAGUGAUUAACCACAAAGAACUCAAGCUGACAACACACCUGGGACAAGGAGGUUUCGGAACCGUGUACGAAGCAAUCUGGCUCGGUCACAAGUUUGCAGUGAAAGUCUUCCCUCAAGGUGACAAGAGCUUCGCCAA
This 260-nucleotide long non-coding RNA is filed under the name Selaginella moellendorffii. RNAcentral's name for it is "long non-coding RNA (SMOE_LNC001576)". The record is from RNAcentral. Lineage: Eukaryota; Viridiplantae; Streptophyta; Lycopodiopsida; Selaginellales; Selaginellaceae.